ACAAAGACUCAGAGACUCGCCUGCUCUUCCACGACCAGUGAGGAGCUCAGCUAGGACUGGAAUCCAUGUCUAAAUCCCUGUUCAGGUGGUGUACCACGUUGACUGAUUUACCAAUGUUGAACCAUCCUUGUGUUCCUGGAAUAAAUUGAACUUGAUCAAGCAAGCCAUUGAAUGCUGGCCU
Molecule: long non-coding RNA, 181 nt
Organism: Balaenoptera ricei (Rice's whale)
Lineage: Eukaryota; Metazoa; Chordata; Mammalia; Artiodactyla; Balaenopteridae
Exons: 3
Source: RefSeq, a predicted model, not a curated record